Molecule: long non-coding RNA, 454 nt
Organism: Tachysurus fulvidraco (yellow catfish)
Lineage: Eukaryota; Metazoa; Chordata; Actinopteri; Siluriformes; Bagridae
Exons: 2
Source: RefSeq, a predicted model, not a curated record
AUGAAUACUGUCUUAAUUAUAUAUCGAUUUUGAACACACACUUUUACCUUCUCGUAACAACAGAAAAAUAUUAAGUUAGUGAAACUUGUAUAUCUAGUGAGCAUCCUUUAAAUGCUGAGUAAAGGCGGAAUUUGCCCGGACGUGUUUUUCUGCCAGAGAAGGACUACUAGGAGCCGGAGAAACAGGAGAAUCGAGGCUAUAUAGGAUGAUGAGGUGCGACAAAUUUUGACCCAGCCAACGCCAGUAUUAUUAUUGAGGGAACGGAAGUCCUGCAAGACCUGGAUGUAUCCAGAGCCUGUGCCCUGCUAGGGCUGGUAUAUGCUCUCAACCUCAGCUACCCAAAGGAACUAAAAAAUACUUUUGAGGUGUUUCAGAAAAUAAUUCUUGAGCUGGAUGGUCUGAAAGCUAGGCCGAAGGUAAUGUCUUUAAACAAUAAACUGUUGUAUUCCUGAAA